This 466-nucleotide ribosomal RNA is filed under the name uncultured bacterium. Its description in RNAcentral is "bacterial SSU rRNA". It matches the Rfam family "Bacterial small subunit ribosomal RNA", at positions 338 to 795 of the family's 1533-position model. The record is from RNAcentral.
CCUACGGGACGCACCAGUAGGGAAUCUUCGGCAAUGGACGAAAGUCUGACCGAGCAACGCCGCGUGAGUGAAGAAGGUUUUCGGAUCGUAAAACUCUGUUGUUGGAGAAGAACAAGGAUGAGAAGAGAAUGCUCAUCCCUUGACGGUAUCUAACCAGAAAGCCACGGCUAACUACGUGCCAGCAGCCGCGGUAAUACGUAGGUGGCAAGCGUUGUCCGGAUUUAUUGGGCGUAAAGCGAGCGCAGGCGGUUCUUUAAGUCUGAUGUGAAAGCCCACGGCUCAACCGUGGAGGGUCAUUGGAAACUGGGGGACUUGAGUGCAGAAGAGGAGAGCGGAAUUCCACGUGUAGCGGUGAAAUGCGUAGAGAUGUGGAGGAACACCAGUGGCGAAGGCGGCUCUCUGGUCUGUAACUGACGCUGAGGCGCGAAAGCGUGGGGAGCAAACAGGAUUAGAUACCCGGGUAGUC